GCGCGUUUUCCUCUGUUCUGUGGCCCGAGGGCUCUGCAGUCGGCUUCCCGGAAUGGCGAAGUCCUGGGGAGGCUUGUCUACAAAUACAGAGGCUGUUUCCCCACAUGCAGGAGUGGCCAUGAGACUGGGCCUGACCAGAGAGAUUCAAGAGGAAGUCUGCUGAUUGAUCUAUUGGAAACAGAAUAAUUUCUACCCGGGAAGUCUACACUUCAACCAUGUUCUCAGGGUCCUUUACAUCCUGGUGUCUCUCUGAGGCAGAGAGACAACUUCAUCACCUGCACAUCUCAAUGGAUUUUGUUGGGAAGAGGAGACCAGGCACAGAAAGCAGAUUCUUGGUUACCGAAGUCUGGGGGGAGGCAAGAAGGAGAAGUAACCACCUACUGGGUAUGGACUUUCCUUUUGGAGUGAUGAAAAUAUUUUGGAACUAGGUGGUGGAGGGGUUUGUACAUAUUGCAAAUGUAUUAAAUGCUACUGAAUUGUUCUCUUUAAAAUGGUUAAUUUUAUAUUAUCUGAACUUCACCUUGAUUUUAAAAAUAAGAGUCCCACUAGCAGAAACAUCAUUCUGCCCUCCUCAGUGUCCCCAGGAAGAGGAGGAAUGGGGAAAGGUGUGGUAGCAGCAGCAUGUAGGUACAUGAGUCACAAACUGAUGAAGACCAAGAAUUCUCCACCCUCUUUCCUUCUCCUCUCUCGUGUUUUACUUAGGAGUAUUCACUGGGAAAUGGACUGGCCUCACAUCAGAACCAAGAGAAAAGGAAAUAAGUCUGUAGUAACUUAGGAAGAGCAGGUCAUAAAAAAAUUUCCAUUAUUAUGAAGGCAGACACAAAACACAUAUGAAUAAAG
RNAcentral lists this long non-coding RNA (840 nucleotides) under Equus asinus (donkey). RNAcentral describes it as "lncRNA (ENSEASG00005033567.1)". The record is from RNAcentral. Lineage: Eukaryota; Metazoa; Chordata; Mammalia; Perissodactyla; Equidae.